ACCAGACGCUGGGGGAGCCAGAAAACUGGCUGAGAGGGAGAUGUAUGUCUCCGACCCUUGGAACCUGACGCGGUCAAGACCGCCGUAGGAAAGCGUUGGAUAUGACGU
RNAcentral lists this non-coding RNA (108 nucleotides) under Desulfobaculum bizertense. RNAcentral's name for it is "Desulfovibrio bizertensis TPP sequence". It matches the Rfam family "TPP riboswitch aptamer (THI element)". Rfam says of the family: Vitamin B(1) in its active form thiamin pyrophosphate (TPP) is an essential coenzyme that is synthesised by coupling of pyrimidine and thiazole moieties in bacteria. The previously detected thiamin-regulatory element, thi box was extended, resulting in a new, highly conserved RNA secondary structure, the THI element, which is widely distributed in eubacteria and also occurs in some archaea. The record is from RNAcentral. RNAcentral also lists the same sequence under 1 other name. Lineage: Bacteria; Pseudomonadati; Thermodesulfobacteriota; Desulfovibrionia; Desulfovibrionales; Desulfovibrionaceae.